UGGCUCAGUGGUAAAGCAUCUGCCUGCAAUGCAGGAGACCCAGGUUCAAUCCCUGA
Molecule: transfer RNA, 56 nt
Filed under: Ovis aries (sheep)
Lineage: Eukaryota; Metazoa; Chordata; Mammalia; Artiodactyla; Bovidae
Rfam family: tRNA
About the family: Transfer RNA (tRNA) molecules are approximately 80 nucleotides in length. Their secondary structure includes four short double-helical elements and three loops (D, anti-codon, and T loops). Further hydrogen bonds mediate the characteristic L-shaped molecular structure. tRNAs have two regions of fundamental functional importance: the anti-codon, which is responsible for specific mRNA codon recognition, and the 3' end, to which the tRNAs corresponding amino acid is attached (by aminoacyl-tRNA synthetases). tRNAs cope with the degeneracy of the genetic code in two manners: having more than one tRNA (with a specific anti-codon) for a particular amino acid; and 'wobble' base-pairing, i.e. permitting non-standard base-pairing at the 3rd anti-codon position.
Source: Rfam by way of RNAcentral